This 680-nucleotide ribosomal RNA is filed under the name unidentified archaeon. Its description in RNAcentral is "bacterial SSU rRNA". It matches the Rfam family "Archaeal small subunit ribosomal RNA", at positions 130 to 813 of the family's 1478-position model. The record is from RNAcentral.
CCCCGGGAAACUGGGGAUAAUACCGGAAGGAUCACUUAUGCUGGAAUGCUUGGUGGUCGAAAGGUGACGCCCUUGGAUGGGUCUGCGGCGGAUUAGGUUGACGCCGGUGUAACGUACCGGCGUGCCUGUAAUCCGUACGGGUUGUGGGAGCAAGAGCCCGGAGAUGGAUUCUGAGACACGAAUCCAGGCCCUACGGGGCGCAGCAGGCGCGAAAACUCUACAAUGCAGGCAACUGCGAUAGGGGGACAUCGAGUGGCAUCCACCUUGGGUGCCUGUCCCACCGUCUAAAAAACGGUGGUUAGCAAGGGCCGGGCAAGACCGGUGCCAGCCGCCGCGGUAAUACCGGCGGCUCGAGUGGUGGCCGAUAUUAUUGAGUCUAAAGGGUCCGUAGCCGGCUUUGCAAGUCCCCUGGGAAAUCCAGCGGCUUAACCGUUGGGCUUUCAUGGGAUACUACAUUGCUUGGGACUGGGAGAGGUAGGAGGUACUCGGGGGGUAGGGGUGAAAUCCUGUAAUCCCCCGGGGACCACCGGUGGCGAAUGCGUCCUACCAGAACAGGUCCGACGGUGAGGGACGAAAGCUAGGGGCACGAACCGGAUUAGAUACCCGGGUAGUCCUAGCCGUAAACGAUGCCCGCUAGGUGUCACGGCGGUCGUGAAUCGCCGUGGUGCCGUAGGGAAGCC